Molecule: ribosomal RNA, 253 nt
Filed under: uncultured bacterium
Lineage: Bacteria
Description: partial 16S ribosomal RNA
Rfam family: Bacterial small subunit ribosomal RNA
Source: RNAcentral
UACAGAGGGUGCGAGCGUUAAUCGGAAUUACUGGGCGUAAAGAGCUCGUAGGCGGCCUGUCGCGUCGACCGUGAAAACCCGCAGCUCAACUGCGGGCUUGCGGUCGAUACGGGCAGGCUGGAGUUCGGUAGGGGAGACUGGAAUUCCUGGUGUAGCGGUGAAAUGCGCAGAUAUCAGGAGGAACACCGGUGGCGAAGGCGGUUCUCUGGGCCUUACCUGACACUGAGGAGCGAAAGCGUGGGGAGCGAACAGG